AGCAGACCCAUUCGCCGCCGCCUAUCCCUGCGCUACCUCCAUCCCUUCGCCGCCGCCCUCCCAUCAAGCCGCCGCCGAUCCUGGAGCUACCUCCAUCCCUUCUGCGCCGCCGAUCCUGGAGCUACCUCCAUCCCUUCGGCGCCGCCAUCCCAUCAAGCCGCCGCCGAUCCUGGAGCCAUCUACCCCUGGAUCCCUUCGCGGGCGCCGAUCCCGUCGAGGAGCCGACGCCGAUCCCCUUCAGGAGCCAUCUGAUAUGAACGCACGGGCACGCCGAUCCCAUUCAGGAGCCGACGCAGGAUGAGGCAAGCCCCCGCGCGUCAAUCGCAGAGAGCCUCGCGAUGCAGGUACUGCUGCUGCCAGUCAGGAUGCAAGAAUCUGCUACCAAUACUGCAAAAGGAAGAUUUCUACAAUAACAAGAAGGAAGUAUUGUAUUUUCUUGCCAUUGCCCGUGAGGGCAAAAUUUGGUAACUGGUGCAUUGUUAAUGUUAUCCAUUAUGCCUUUCAUCACCACAACCCCCCUUCCUCCUAUAAAGUGGCAUCCUAUCUUUUCUCAAAUUCCUCUUCUCAACACAAAAAUCGUUGUCUAAAGGUCUUAUUAUUAUCAUGUUAAACGCUCUUUUUUGUUGACAUGUGUUCCUUCCCUUUUAUCUUGCAUAGGGAAAAUAGGGCCAGAGUAAAAUUUGUCAACUGCACUUUGUGAUGUUGGCGCUUGGGGUCAGAUGGUCCAUCGAUUGUAGGUGUAAAUGUAAUAGACUGAUAAUUGGCGACAGGAGAUACCUGCAUGUAUGCCACAUUGAGUGACCUUCAGAUAAUGCUCACCUUCAGGGAAAGCUUAUCAUAGAAAUAGUAUCCAUGAAGUUUAUUGAAGAGAGCGACUCAUUUUUUAUACUGGAUGGGAACGCUUCCAUCAUAGGCUCCAUCUCAUCCGAUCUUUGAGCCGGUCUAUUUUCAACAUUUAUACGAAGAAGAUCUAGCACCAAAGGUUCACCAUCGGGAUUAACACUGUUUCAGCGAUGAUAUAUCUCCAGCUGCAUUAUUAACGAGCUUUCCAAUGACACCAUAUUGUUUUAGCAACGAGUUUAUCGCCGGCGCACCCCCAGGCCGCUCUUUUUCGACGCCCUGGGGGGCUGAACGGCUGGAGAUGCUCUUAGCGGGCAUGCCCUGGUUGAGGCCCCCAAAAUUCAGAUGACGGCGCUGAGGAGAUCACGUAACCCCAAGGCAGGGCGUAGCGACCGGCGAGGAGCGCCUCAAGGGCGUGGCCCCCGAUUCGUGGAUCGACAGCGUGGAGCCAAUCGUGUGCGGACAGGAUGUGGCGGUGCUGCAGCAAGCGAGGAGCGCCACUACCGUUCGCACAAGAUUCGCCGUCUCGUCUCUGCGAUUUGACCGCCGCCGGCGGUCUGCGCUCCACUGUCCGCAUCCGAACUCGCCAGAGCCGCGGUGCCCCAUGAACCGCCCGCCUCCCCCAUUUCGUUUCCGUUUGAUGGUAGUGACGACGACGACCAAGGUUGUCACUGAGUCGGCCAUGAUUCCAUAUUUUAAGUAUAGUUGGACAGUUGCAACUAUUUUUCUUCAUCACAUCGGAUACUCGGAAAUGUUUUUGCUUGAAGAGAUGAAGUAUGCCUUUUGUUCAGUCCUAUGGAGUUCACAAAUUGAUCUACAGCUACACUAUUUAGAAACUCAAAGGAGCAUCAAGGUCGAAGAAUUUCUUGGAGAUGGCUACAUUCCCUAGAUCACUCGAUCGAUCAAAAAUUUCCCUUACAAAAAUUAUCUUAUCAGUGCCACUGUGUAUUUUGAUUAACAAGCAGGACGGCCCGAGCCAGACGUUUACGCCUACAAUGCCCUCAUGGAGGCUUACAGCCACACAGGGUUUCCACAAGCCGCUAUCAAGAUCUUUGCCCUAAUGCAGCACAUGGGUUGCACCGAGCUUCGUGCAGCAUCUUGGUGGAUGUUUAUGAGAGAGCCUGUCUCCAUGGAGAGGCUGAGGCCGCGUUUGAGCCACUGAAGCAGCUGGGAAUGUUGCUGACCGUGAAGUCACACAUGCUGCGGCACAUACUAGGUCCGGCAAUGUGGCAUGGUGGAAGGAGGUGAUGGCGCCAGUGCAUAAAUUUGGCCUCGCCCAGGAGACCUUCACACUCAAAGUCAUGCUCAACGCCUACGGCGCUUCGGCUGCCUCGACGAGAUCGGCAGCCCUCGCUGCCAUGGACUGCCGAGAGACGUGGAACUAUGAACAUGUAGGGCCAAGCGGGGUACCUGGAGAGCAUGAAGGCGAUGUUUGUGUCACCGGAAGGGAGGGGGAUCACUGUCGAUGUGGUGACGUGGAGGUCCUGCAUGAGCGCACACACACACCAGGACAGAGUACCGGAUGUGCUUGGACAUCGACCUCUAGGUGACAGUCCAUGGUCAAAACCGAGUCGCGGUGUUCACAAUGAUGGGCACUAUUUAUAUCGAAGGACGAGGAGGACGAUUUGGAUGACCGUAACCACAAUGGCAAGGGCAGCAACAUGGUCGUCACCUGCAAUGCCGUUGGGUACUGAGAUUAUGAUGUUUGGUUUAUUUGUUGAAAGUUACAGCCCAUGUUUCAUGAUUUAUUUGCCGCCAGUUAAUCAUGAUAUUUUGAAGUGCUCUGGCAAUUGCUUGCUGUCUGCAUCUCUUACUUUUCAACUUGCUGCAUAUACAGAUAUACACCAUUAGAAUCUGUUUGUACAAUAUAUUUACUUAUUCAACAUGCUUCAGUUAUGCUUCUUUGAAAAUCCAGUUGUAGAUUGAAGUGAAGCCCCAUUUAGAUCUUGGCUAUAGUAUUAUUCUUGUCUUAUGACUGGUGACAGAUUGAUAUAUGAUACCGUGACAUAGCAUAUGUGGUACCGUGGUAGUCACAUUUGGUGGUAGUUCUGAUUGUUUGCUAGAUUACGAGAUAAGACCAAGUGCUUCUGCAACUCGGUUGCGGAUUUGAUAGGAACAUGAAGACUUGUGCCAUGACAUGGAGCAUGUUCGAUUAAAAGGACAUAGUUGCUCCAAUAUAUUGAGCAGGGAAGAAGUUUGUUACAAGUGUUUUAUAGAGUUGACGCAAGAGACAUCCGACGGGAUACAUUGGUGAAGGAAUCGACGAAGAAGCUUCCGUUCAGCAUGGUAUCUCAGUGGAAGAAUAUCCGAAGCAAACCUCCGCUACUUCUCUGUUCCCUUUCAUUUUUCAUGGAAAAUUUGAACAGACCUCGUCCACGCCGAUAGUUUCCAGUUUCAUGUGGCAAUGACAUGUGGAGGACGACGGUCACAAGCGCAUUGUCGCAAGCUCACGGGAGGGAGGCACACAUCUCAUCCAAUGGAAAAGCACGCUCCAAAAAAUCCCUAACCCUCCAUGGAGCCAUUGCUAGGGGACGACGAGAUCAACGCCACCCAUCACGACCACCAAGAUGUAGAAGGGCAUCGUGACUGAGCUGGCGAAGAUGUCAGUGGUGGAAGCGGACAUGUUAUAGAAGAUGUUGAGGGUGGCACCGGAGUUAAUGGCCAAAUGGGGUUCCUCGGCACCGAAGAGAAGGAUGCUGCAGCAACACGUACUGGUUGCAUUUCCCACCAGAGAAGAACUUAUGAAUGGUAUGUGCGCGAUCCAUUCAUUCUUUCGUUUGAUCCUUAUUCUCCUCAACUCAGAUUCAUUUUAUUUUGUACUUAUGCAUGAUUUUGAUGGAUCAAUAAAUUUAGUGGCAUUAAUUGCAAUGAGAAAUAUCAUAUAUCCAUAAACUUCACAUUGUUGUUGCUACGAGUCUGCUGGUCAGCUACUUCCGGUUAUCCUCAUCAAGAGUUGAUAGUCGGAUUUCACCAAGAAAUAAAAACAGAGGAGAACCCACCAGUCUUACUACCGAAUAUGGGUAAUUUCCCUUGUAAUUAUUAUUAGAUUUGUUGUUUCUGAAAUUCAGUCUUCAGAAUUACUAUGGCUAAGUGAAGGUGAUAAAUAAUUCCAGUUUAAGGAGUACUUGUGGACUGUUUAGAUGGAGGAGCACUCUUAGUUUUGUUCUUAGAUUUAAUUCUGAAUCAUUUAGUGUGCAAUUCAGAUUCACGCAGCAUUUUUCUUAAAUUUUGCCUGCCUGGAAAUUAUUAAUGUCAACUUAAUACAUAGCAUGUCCUGAUGUUAAACAUGAUGCAUUUCUUCACUACAGUCUACAUAAUUGGUACAUAUAGCAUGUCUCUGCCGUCAGCAACCCCGUCUUGCUCACUUUUUCAGCGGCAUGGCCUUUUUCCAAUCUUAUGUCAAUUGGUCUUUGCUUUGUGGGCACUAGAAAGGAGACGAUCCUAUCCACUAUCACAAUGAAACAAGGGAAACAAUUCCUUGCAGUCAUCUAUAAGGUUAGCAUGCUGGGGCUUGGUUGAUUCAUUUAUAUUGCUAUUUCUAUGCACACGUAAAAGGAUCUAUGUAUCCACAAUUAAUUUGCUUACCCAUGUGAGUUUGGGGAUAUUUUUUCUCUUGUUAAGAUGCAUGUCAGAUCUAAAUUCUCUGAUAUCUAUGUAUGUAGUGCAGUUUUUAUUAGUUAAAAACCUACUACCAGUCCACGCAUGAAGGUGCACUUAAUUUCUUAGUAUUUCUACGUGCAUUACCUCUCUUGAAUUUACUUAGUAAUAGUAUUUUGUUAUUUGGGUCUGAAGAUACCAAUAUUGCGAAAAGUAAAUAAUUUGGGAGGAGAGUGAAUUGAACUUUAUACUGUUAAGGAUAGUAAACCAAAUUGAUUUUUAUAGAGGCGUGAACAAUCAAACCAAAAAAGGGAGUUGAUUAGUAAGGAGACAUCUAGGAUGUUUCAAAUUCUUUCGAAAAGCUCAAUAUAAAUAUGUGUAGAUGUGUUAAAAUUUGUUCACUGAAUUUCUGGUAAUAUAAUUAGUACUACUCCCUCUGUUUCUAAAUAUAAGUCUUUCUUAGAUAUUCCACUGCGGACUACAUACGAAGCAAAAUGAGUGAAUCUAUACUCUAAAAUAUGUCUAUAUACAUUCGUAUGUAGUUUGUAUUGAAAUCCAUAGAAAGACUUAUAUUUAGAACGGAGGGAGUAUAUGUUAUGGUGGAUAAAAAUUCAUUUAAAUACACUAUGGAAGUGUUUGGUUGCAGAUCGGUAACGCAAACGCAAACGUAAUUGGGUUACACUGUUAACGUAAACGGUAUGGGCAAAAAUCAUACUUUGUUUGGCUACCUACGCUGUAACAUUAAUGAAUACCAGAGUUGGGCAAGUACCAGCCGAGGGUGAACCGCUGGCUGGAAGCAGAUCCAAGCUGUGCAUGGCGGGCGAGGAAGGAGGCGGCAUCGUUCGUGUCUUGGGAGCGAGGGCCUGACAGCGAGGCUAACACAAUGACAGCAGCGGCGGCUGCAGCGACGGCGCCAGCGGCGGACGCAACGACGGCGACCGGAGCGGCGGCGGAUGCAACGACGGCGAUGGUGGCGGCUGCAGCGACGGCGCCGGCGGCGGACGCAACGACGGCGAUGGUGGCGGCUGUUUGCAGCGGCGCCAGCGACGGACGCAACGACGGCGACGCCAGCGACGGACGCAACGACGGCGACGGUGGCGGCUGUUUGCGGCGGCGAUGUGGACAGCUGGUGGCGGCAGAAACGCUUUAAGCAGAAGAGAUAGCGAGGAGGGAGACACCGCAGCGGCUUUCAUUGCGGAUAAUUUCGACCGGUAACAAAUUUGAACUAGGCUGGGAUCUAAUACCGCGUUAUGUGAUUACGGAGCAAUCAAAACAAACAUGAUUUGACGGGAUCCGUUGACGCUGUAAUCAGGUUACGAUACAAAAGCACGAACCAAACACCUCCUAUAUAUACUGUGUACUAAAUGGUGGAAUCGUUGGCCGCCUGCCGACCUCGACUGACGUAGAGAGGGAGAACGCCCUAGAUGGGAUGCUCACGCAUUUGCGCCUCACCAACGUUCACUGCCUCGCAUGCUUCCUAGGCCGAACUGAGAUGCCGUCUCGAGCCGCUGCGUUCUUGAAAAAAAAUUCUCAGAUGCCAUUGUUUCAUUCACCUGAUUCUGAUUGUUUUGCAGACUAAAAUCAUGUUUUGAAAUUAUAUUCAUCAAGUGAGAGACACUUCCAAUGUGCUAAGGUGCGCAGCUCAUCAUAGGAUUAUCACAUCUAGAAUUCUGGUUCUUAGAGCUUUGGUUUCUAUAACCCUUAUUUGCUUGUCUUGUCUUUUGUUUUACGGGUUUCAAGCUUCAGCACAAAUCUUCUGUAGGAAAUCUUGUACUCAAAGUGUAGAAAAAUGCCGUUUUUGUGAAAUGUCACAGGAGCUACAUUACUAACAUUGUUGUAAUGUUUGUAUGGCAGCCUAUUCUUUAAUCCGUUCAAUUACAGAGUUUAUGAUUAUGUAAAUGGAGUAUGAGAUCUGAGAAGAAAAAAAAGUUGCAUCUGAUUCAAGGAAGAUAAUGGACAAGUACAUUGGUAUGAACAGGUCGUCGAUUUUGAUAGAAAAUGCUACAGAAUACACAUCAACUAUUAUGCUACAGAAUACACAUAAUUAGUUAUAGAUCAGUAGGCUACUCAUCUGGUUAGUUUUCUCAAGUCAUUUCUUCUCUGUGUAUAUAUGUUAUUUUCCUUUUUACACUA
Molecule: RNA transcript, 6570 nt
Organism: Triticum dicoccoides
Lineage: Eukaryota; Viridiplantae; Streptophyta; Magnoliopsida; Poales; Poaceae
Gene name: REST corepressor 1-like
Exons: 18
Source: RefSeq, a predicted model, not a curated record